Molecule: ribosomal RNA, 278 nt
Filed under: uncultured Bacteroides sp.
Lineage: Bacteria; Pseudomonadati; Bacteroidota; Bacteroidia; Bacteroidales; Bacteroidaceae
Description: partial 16S ribosomal RNA
Rfam family: Bacterial small subunit ribosomal RNA
Source: RNAcentral
GCAGCCGCGGUAAUACGGAGGAUGCGAGCGUUAUCCGGAUUUAUUGGGUUUAAAGGGAGCGUAGACGGGAUGUUAAGUCAGCUGUGAAAGUUUGGGGCUCAACCUUAAAAUUGCAGUUGAUACUGGCGUCCUUGAGUGCGGUUGAGGUAUGUGGAAUUCGUGGUGUAGCGGUGAAAUGCUUAGAUAUCACGAAGAACUCCGAUUGCGAAGGCAGCAUACUAAGCCGCUACUGACGUUGAGGCUCGAAAGUGUGGGUAUCAAACAGGAUUAGAUACCCC